AUGCUAUGCCUUAAGAGCACGGCCCGCGCACUGACGAGUUGGAGCGCCAGGUCCAAGGGUUGCAUUCGGGACAAGAUGGCCAUCUCCCGCGAGGUCAUAUCGCGUUUUGACAAAGCCCAGGAAGACCGCGCGCUCUCUCCCCCGGAAGAUUGGCUGCGAAAACAGCUCAAUAUCUCAUACUUGGGGUUGGCUUCUCUCGAGCGCACAAUCGCGAGGCAACGAGCGCGGAUCACCACGCUCAAGGACGGUGAUGCUAACACAGCCUUCUCCCACCGGCAAUGUUCAUUCCGUCAACAGAAGAAUCACAUAUUCCGCCUUGUGACCGAUGGACAAGUGAUCACUCAUCAGGAGGGAAUGGCCCAAGCGGCCUUCACGUACUUUGACGAGCUUCUUGGCUCCUCCGCCGCCCGCAACCACACACUGGAUCUAUCGUAUAUCAUCGAGCCCCAUGACUUGACUGACCUCGAGGCACCAUUCAGCCCGGAGGAGAUUUGGGACGCUGUCAAGCGCCUCCCGGCUCGCAAAGCACCGGGGCCGGAUGGAUUCACCGCGGAAUUUUUGCGGGCCUGCUGGAGCAUUAUCAAGCAAGACUUCUUCGACGUCUUCCAGCAGCUCUUUGAGCUACGCGGUCGUGGAUUCAGCAAGCUCAACCAGGCCCUCUUGACAUUACUCCCAAAGCGAACAGACGCGUGCCAACUCCGCGACUACCGGCCA
This 714-nucleotide ribosomal RNA is filed under the name Triticum aestivum (bread wheat). Its description in RNAcentral is "partial small subunit ribosomal RNA". Lineage: Eukaryota; Viridiplantae; Streptophyta; Magnoliopsida; Poales; Poaceae. The record is from RNAcentral.